This 1104-nucleotide ribosomal RNA is filed under the name Acinetobacter sp. Its description in RNAcentral is "bacterial SSU rRNA". It matches the Rfam family "Bacterial small subunit ribosomal RNA", at positions 377 to 1471 of the family's 1533-position model. Lineage: Bacteria; Pseudomonadati; Pseudomonadota; Gammaproteobacteria; Moraxellales; Moraxellaceae. The record is from RNAcentral.
GCAAGCCUGAUUCCAGCCAUGCCGCGUGUGUGAAGAAGGCCUUAUGGUUGUAAAGCACUUUAAGCGAGGAGGAGGCUACUUUAGUUAAUACCUAGAGAUAGUGGACGUUACUCGCAGAAUAAGCACCGGCUAACUCUGUGCCAGCAGCCGCGGUAAUACAGAGGGUGCAAGCGUUAAUCGGAUUUACUGGGCGUAAAGCGCGCGUAGGCGGCUAAUUAAGUCAAAUGUGAAAUCCCCGAGCUUAACUUGGGAAUUGCAUUCGAUACUGGUUAGCUAGAGUGUGGGAGAGGAUGGUAGAAUUCCAGGUGUAGCGGUGAAAUGCGUAGAGAUCUGGAGGAAUACCGAUGGCGAAGGCAGCCAUCUGGCCUAACACUGACGCUGAGGUGCGAAAGCAUGGGGAGCAAACAGGAUUAGAUACCCUGGUAGUCCAUGCCGUAAACGAUGUCUACUAGCCGUUGGGGCCUUUGAGGCUUUAGUGGCGCAGCUAACGCGAUAAGUAGACCGCCUGGGGAGUACGGUCGCAAGACUAAAACUCAAAUGAAUUGACGGGGGCCCGCACAAGCGGUGGAGCAUGUGGUUUAAUUCGAUGCAACGCGAAGAACCUUACCUGGCCUUGACAUAGUAAGAACUUUCCAGAGAUGGAUUGGUGCCUUCGGGAACUUACAUACAGGUGCUGCAUGGCUGUCGUCAGCUCGUGUCGUGAGAUGUUGGGUUAAGUCCCGCAACGAGCGCAACCCUUUUCCUUAUUUGCCAGCGAGUAAUGUCGGGAACUUUAAGGAUACUGCCAGUGACAAACUGGAGGAAGGCGGGGACGACGUCAAGUCAUCAUGGCCCUUACGGCCAGGGCUACACACGUGCUACAAUGGUCGGUACAAAGGGUUGCUACCUAGCGAUAGGAUGCUAAUCUCAAAAAGCCGAUCGUAGUCCGGAUUGGAGUCUGCAACUCGACUCCAUGAAGUCGGAAUCGCUAGUAAUCGCGGAUCAGAAUGCCGCGGUGAAUACGUUCCCGGGCCUUGUACACACCGCCCGUCACACCAUGGGAGUUUGUUGCACCAGAAGUAGCUAGCCUAACUGCAAAGAGGGCGGUACCCACCGGGUGGCCAA